This 21-nucleotide microRNA is filed under the name Arabidopsis thaliana (thale cress). RNAcentral's name for it is "ath-miR5649b". Lineage: Eukaryota; Viridiplantae; Streptophyta; Magnoliopsida; Brassicales; Brassicaceae. The record is from miRBase by way of RNAcentral.
AUUGAAUAUGUUGGUUACUAU